AUUGAACGCUGGCGGAAUGCUUUACACAUGCAAGUCGAGCGGCAGCACGGGGGCAACCCUGGUGGCGAGCGGCGAACGGGUGAGUAAUACAUCGGAACAUGCCCAGUCGUGGGGGAUAACACCUCGAAAGAAGUGCUAAUACCGCAUACGUCCUGAGGGGGAAAGCGGGGGAUCGCAAGACCUCGCGCGAUUGGAGUGGCCGAUGUCAGAUUAGCUAGUUGGUGGGGUAAAGGCCUACCAAGGCAACGAUCUGUAGCUGGUCUGAGAGGAUGAUCAGCCACACUGGGACUGAGACACGGCCCAGACUCCUACGGGAGGCAGCAGUAGGGAAUUUUGGACAAUGGGGGCAACCCUGAUCCAGCCAUUCCGCGUGAGUGAAGAAGGCCUUCGGGUUGUAAAGCUCUUUCGGCAGGAACGAAACGGUGAGCUCUAACAUAGCUUGCUAAUGACGGUACCUGAAGAAGAAGCACCGGCUAACUACGUG
RNAcentral lists this ribosomal RNA (484 nucleotides) under uncultured bacterium. Its description in RNAcentral is "partial 16S ribosomal RNA". It matches the Rfam family "Bacterial small subunit ribosomal RNA", at positions 30 to 507 of the family's 1533-position model. The record is from RNAcentral.